This 404-nucleotide unclassified non-coding RNA is filed under the name soil metagenome. RNAcentral's name for it is "partial contains 5.8S ribosomal RNA, internal transcribed spacer 2, and large subunit ribosomal RNA". The stretch from base 1 to 121 matches the Rfam family "5.8S ribosomal RNA", at positions 35 to 154 of the family's 154-position model. The record is from RNAcentral.
GAUGAAGAACGUAGCGAAAUGCGAUAAGUAAUGUGAAUUGCAGAAUUCAGUGAAUCAUCGAACCUUUGAACGCACCUUGCGCCCUUUGGCCAUUCCGAAGGGCAUGCCUGUUUGAGUAUCAUGAACACCUCAACUCUUUAUGGUUUUCCAUGAUGAGCUUGGACUCUGGGGGUUUUGCUGGCUCACAGUCGGCUCCUCUAAAAUGAAUCAGCUUACCAGUGUUUGGUGGGUAUCAUGGGUGUGAUAACUAUCUACGCUUGUGGUUUUCCACCAGGUAACCUUCAGCAGUGGAGGUUCGCUGGAGCUCAUAGAUGUCUCUCCUCAGUGAGGACAGCCCUUUGAAUGUUUGAUCUCAAAUCAGGUAGGACUACCCGCUGAACUUAAGCAUAUCAAUAAGCGGAGGA